GGACCCGCACAAGUAGUGGAGCAUGUGGUUUAAUUCGAAGAUACGCGCAGAACCUUACCAACACUUGACAUGUUCGUCGCGACUCUAAGAGAUUAGAGUUUUCGGUUCGGCCGGACGAAACACAGGUGCUGCAUGGCUGUCGUCAGCUCGUGUCGUGAGAUGUUGGGUUAAGUCCCGCAACGAGCGCAACCCUCACUUUUAGUUGCCAUCAUUAAGUUGGGCACUCUGAAAGAACUGCCAGUGAUAAGCUGGAGGAAGGUGGGGAUGACGUCAAGUCCUCAUGGCCCUUACGUGUUGGGCUACACACGUGCUACAAUGGUAUCUACAACAGGAAGCAAGACUGCGAAGUUAAGCAAAUCCCUAAAAGAUACCUCAGUUCGGAUUGGAGUCUGCAACUCGACUCUAUGAAGCUGGAAUCGCUAGUAA
Molecule: ribosomal RNA, 426 nt
Filed under: uncultured bacterium
Lineage: Bacteria
Description: bacterial SSU rRNA
Rfam family: Bacterial small subunit ribosomal RNA
Source: RNAcentral